UUGCCAACUGCCGUACCGAAUCCGCACACAGCUCAUUACAACAGCGCGUAGUAGCCACUCUCAUUGGAGUUUCCACGUGAGGACUGCAUAAACCAGUUAGUAGCACGGUAUUAGGGGAGCAUAGCUAUUUCAAAAUGGUUGGCUACUUCGGCUGGUUACACGUUUCAAGCCAGAUACGUGCCAUGGCGCUCUGUUGUGGUACGUGGCUUGGGAGUGUCCGCAUGCUAAUAAGCAGUCCAGUGCCCUGCAUGUCAAGUUGCAAACGCAGAACGAGAGUAUUGUGAACGUGGAAAGCGGAGCUUUGAAAGCGAUUGGGGAGAGUGCUACCCGCUGACCUAUCAGCUGUAGAUCUGGGCAGGGCCCUGCUAUGGCCAUGACGGGUAACGGGGAAUCAGGGUUCGAUUCCGGAGAGGGAGCCUUAGAGACGGCUGCCACAGCUACGGCAGGCAGCAGGCGCGCAAAUUGCCCCAUGCUGGCCCAUUGAGGCAGCAACGAUCAGUGGCAGCUACAUCUUUCCUAAGGAUUGGUGUUGUUGCAGUGGGUGGUAUUUCCAUAACCCACGGACGUUAGUGGAGGGCCAGUUCUGGUGCCAGCAGCCGCGGUAAUUCCAGCUCCACUGGCGUCUAUGAAUGCUGCUGUUGUUAAAAAGCUCGUAGUUAGAAGUUGUGCUGACCAUUGUCCUGUAGCUGUGUCUCGAACGGGGAUUGCACGUCGCUGGCACACUGUUGCUGCGAUCUCGUUCCAUGUUUCUGAGACUCCGCAUUGAUCAGGCUGGUGCUCGGCGCAACGUUUGCGUGUUGGGGUUAAGACCUCUGCGGAAGCUUCUCUUAACUGGGUUGCGGAAGCAGGCUACGCUUUGAGUUCGAUAAAGCAGAACGAGGUCGCCCGUGUGUGUUCACGAAGAAAGCAAACUGCCUCAAAGAGACCCAUCCGUUGGGCGAAUGUUUAUAUGCUUGGUACGACAGUUGAACGACCUACGGGUCAUGAGUUUGCUGGUUUGGAUGGCAAGCAGGCCAAUCCAUUGUGGCACUGACCGUGUUGGAAAGGGAGGCUGCGGGGAAGUCAGCGACUUCUUUUUUCUCUUGAUCUGACAUGGAGCCGCUCUAUCGGGAUUAAGAGGGCUGGUUGGUGGGGAGAGUAUUGCGACGCGAGAGGUGAAAUUCAAUGACCGUUGCAAGACUACCAGUAGCAAACGCGCUUCUCAAAGCCGCCUUCAUUAAUCAAGAACGAGAGUGCAGGGCUCGAAGACGAUCAGAUACCAUCGUAGUCUGCACCGUAAAAACUGUCUGCCCAGGCCCGCAUAAUAUUGAACAGUUGUACGCGGGCCAACCUCCCAUAAAGAGAAAUCUGAGCGAUCAGGUUCAGGGGGGAGUACAGUAGCAAGACCGGCACUUAAAGGAAUUGACGGAAUGACACCACAAGGUGUGGAAUAUGCGGCUUAAUUUGACUCAACACGGGAAAAGUUAUUACAUCAGGACUAAUGCAGGACAAACCGAUUGAAGCUCGUUUUGGAUAGUUAGGAUGGUGGUGCAUGGCCGUUCCUGGUUGGUGGAGUGAUCUGUCUGGUUGAUUCCGAUAACGAACGAGAUCCUUAACUCUAAUUAGCGUUGGGCUCGCAAGUAUAAGUAGGGCGCGCGAUGGCAGUGAUUUUUAAUGCUGGUCGUGUUCCUGAGAGACCAACUAGGG
RNAcentral lists this ribosomal RNA (1686 nucleotides) under Ploeotiidae sp. RNAcentral's name for it is "partial small subunit ribosomal RNA". It matches the Rfam family "Eukaryotic small subunit ribosomal RNA", at positions 67 to 1427 of the family's 1831-position model. Lineage: Eukaryota; Euglenozoa; Ploeotarea; Ploeotiida; Ploeotiidae. The record is from RNAcentral.